UUCCUCUGUCCCAGCAUGGGACAGCCAAGACAACACCUGUCCUUGGGAAGAGGGAUCUGCUGAAAGAGGCAGCAAUGUCCUGAUGGAAAACAAAGAGGGAAAUGGAUACUGCCAGCCAUUGACUUUCUGCUACUUCUGUUUCCAUCCCUACAGGGCCUGGAGUCCACUAGGACUAGAAGCAAACCACAGCACAGUCAGAAGAGGCAGAAUGAGAGAAAUCCCUGGAUACAGAUUGUCCUGCACAGACAUACGGUGUGGGCAAAACGCUGGAGUGAUGACAUCCAGGCAUGCUGAAAACAGAUCCCAUCCCACUUUCUUUAAGUCCCUACAAUGUGAUUUCCUCUCCCUUGUGUUCAGUGAGCAUGAGCUGGGGAGAAAGAGGGACACUCAUGAGCACAGGUGAAGUGUGAAAGUGCUGUCAAAGGCUCUUGAGUUUGUUGCCCAAUGCAAACUUCACUCUCCGCUCUGCUUCUUAGAGCAGCAUGGUCAGCCUUGUAACCUGUCUAGUUAGAAAGAAAUUCCAGGACCAGCAUCUCCAUGUCAUUGUCACAGAACCACCUUCAGGCCUCCUGCUUGGGUCCUCCACUCCUUCCACCCUGGACCAAGCUGAACAGGACCUCCUGGCCAGUUGCAAUAACAGGAAAAGAAGCAUGGUUGCAAGCCUCUGGCCUCCAUUUCAGGCCCAUUGGUCUUCUUUUCUGCCCAGAGAGAAGCAACUGAAGCAAACCCAGUUGGACCAUGUGGGAAUCAACCAGCAAAGUUCAAGAAGGCAUCUCCUUGGGGCAGGUACCCUAGCAGAAGUCUUGGCAAGUUUUCCUCUUGUCCUAAAGGAGCUUGAUGCAGAAGAAACAGGGGAGUCAAAGACUGCCUAGGGCAGCAGCCUGCAGCUGUGACCAGGCUCUUUCUAUUUAGGAUGCUGAGACGCUGCCUUCACCUCUUUCAUUUCCCCCAUGCCUGCUAAACUGUUUAGCAUUAUGCCUGGAAGAGUGAAUGGCAGCCAUUGCCUAAGCCUUCCUCUUAGGUAUCAGUUAGUAUUUGCAGGAAUCUUUCAAAAAGGAUGCUGUUUCACCAUGGAUUGCCUGAAUUCACUUCCACCGGGAAAUAAGUAUUUAGUAUCAGUGUCCUUAUAUUCUAGAAAAAAAUAUUUUGUUGAGUGCCUUGAUUCUGCCUUAAAAACAUGCAUGGCAAUGUGAGACCUAGCUACUAAAAGAUCACUUUCUGGUCUAAUGCUUUUUCUUGCCAGAUUCUGUAACUCAUACAGAAUGGAAUAGUAUCCCCCUCAGGAUAAAUGGCAUUAUUUUUAUUCUGGAAUCAGGGUAUUAACAUAUAGCACUUUCCAGGUUAAAAAAAAAAACACCAUCACCCCAAAACAACAGAGGCUGGGAUAGUGACAGACCCUUUCCCGGGAGAUAGAAAAAUCAUGUGGAAUAGAGCUACAUUUAUGACUCUUCUAGAAAGAAUAAUGAUAUAGGAUAGAUUCUGAAGUUCCCUGACUUGCUCAUGAUUUUCCCAACAAAAAAGAACUCAAAUCGCUCCUUGCAGGAUUUUCAGCUUGCAAGUGCUGUGUUGGUCAUGCUGUCAUUAUGGUAGGGCCUGCCUAGACAGAUCAGUUUGCUUUGUAGCCUGUGAUGGACAGUCUGACAGAGAAUGCCCAGCCUCUGCUGUAGCAGCAUUUCUGCUGCCCUCUGUGUAAAAUGAGAGCUCACAGGAAUGUUAACAUAGGACAAGCAGAAAUGUCAGAACAUUGCUCUGUAGCAAAACUGCUCAUCCCUACAAUUCUGCUAGGAUGUGGUUGGACACUGAACCCUGGAGAUGGUAGGAGCACAUUUUCCAUAUUAAAAGGUUAUUUAUCAAUUCAGUGUAGAUCUGCUAAGGUGCAUGCUUUCAAUGUUAUGUGCAGAAUGUGCUCAGUCUGUAUUUUUGAUGUGUCAUCUGGUUAGGAAAUGUGCAAUUAACCUAACAUUUCUGAUAAAUGUGGCUGAAGGAAUGGGCUGAGAAAAUUGCUGGAAGCAGUAAAUGAUUUCCCAGGAAGAACUACUGAGGAUCAUAACUGAUGAGACUUAAAACCUGCAGGUUAAAAAGCAGUGUGGGCCAUCCAUUCUUUACCAUGGCAAAUGUAAGCAAAAAUUUCUGGGUCUACGUGUGAGCACUUGUGAAGACAAGCUGAUGUCACAGGCUGACCAUGAAGGGGCUAUAAUGGCCUUGUUAUCGCCUGCUCCUUCUACUCUAUUCAGAAACUAAUUUCUGCUGAUUUUAAUGCAGUUGUGAUUUACCUUCACUGCAUGUCAAGGAAAGUGAAUGCGUCUGUCCUAGGGGGAACUUUGAUGACAAAUUUGUGUUUCCCACAGAGUGGUAUUCUUGGAAGUCCUCAGAAUGAGUUAACUGAACAUGAGAGGCAAAUAAACCCCACAAUCUGGGAUUAGAGGAUGAGCAGCUUUCAAAUGUGCACCACAGGUGCACCAUUACUUACACUCCUCCUGUCUCCACAGCUAACAUCAGCGGAAGAGAUCUGGGCAGUAGAUUCAGGCCAAGGAGAUGAUACUCAGGAUGCCCUUUCUAUCACCCACCAAAGCAGCUGAGGGGCUCCUGUUACAGAGCAGGUGAGUGGGGUGGGCAAACUGGGAGACCACUGGGUAGAAAAAGGUAAUUGAAACAGCACAUAGCCGGAAGAGGAGGAAGGAAGGGCAAAGAAAAGAAACUAAGGAAGGAGCAUGGUAUUAACCCCUGCAGGCAAUGUAGCACAACCUAAAAUAAGCUGUACUUGUGAGAUCAAAGGUCCAUAUAGCCCAACUUUCUGUCUUUGAAAGUGAUGCCCAGGAAAGAGUGGCAUCUUGCCUAAGGCAACAUAGAGCAGCGCUUCUCUAAAACUCUUCCAACUCCCAGUAACUUCUAGUUAGGGAAGCCCUGAGCAGGACACGAUGUCUGGGUGUUUAAGAGCUCAUGGUGGAUUUUUAACUGACAAAUUUGUUCAAACACUUUUUGAACCCAUGACCUGUUCUCCGAAUGUAUAGCAUGCUACUGUGAUCCUCUACUGAGGCUAACUCAUAGAAAGCAAACAUCCACGUAUGCAGUUCAAUUCACUUUGUUAUUAUCUUUGACUAAGUGUUACAAAUACAUAUCUUCUUCGCACCUCAUCCAAAUUUUCAUAUGAAGUCACAUAUUUGAGGAAGUAAAAAUAGCGAUUAAACUGCAGAGAGCAUCUCCCAGGUGACAAGGUAGACUAUGCUAUAGUUAAUCUGCAGUACAUAUUUAUACAUAUAUAUAUCUUUUAGUAUUUUCAAGGGAAAUUUUUUUCCAAACACUAAGGCUCCUAUCACUUCAGAGACUCCACCACAGCCUCCUAUGUAACAUUAGCAGAUAGAUUUCCUUGGUGGUCAGCCUAAAAGUUUCCUUAAUUGCUCUCUGCAUCCAUCUGAGAUGCCCAGGGAAGGAUACAAGUCCCUGCUCCCCCUGAAGGGCAAAUCAGUUGUGUAAAGCAGAACAGCUCCAGCAGGAGACAAUGAUGGCAAUGUGUCACCAGAAACCCAGAAGCCAGGGUGCCAGAGUGCUGGUGGCCCAUGUGGGACAUUAGCAGCUGGGGCUUCUAAUAGUGCUUGUAUCCCCUGUCCUGAAGAUAUUCCCUGCUUACCCCACUAAAAACUACCAGGGACGGACCUUUCUCUCCAUGUGGCUUGUCACAAAGUACUUGGAAAGAUCUGAGUUUAUCCCAAAGGAGAAGUGAACGCUGAGUCCAAAGGAGGAGGGGACGUUGUUUUACAUGUCAGUCAGGACUGUGGCCUGAGAAAAUGUAUCCCAAAUCUGCUGCAGCUCAAGACACAACACCAACUUCACCCCAUCACUGCUUCGCUGAGCAACACAGGAGUAUGUUGCCUUCCUUGCAAAUCAGUCCCUCAGGUCUCUCAAAGUGCCUGCUGCUCCCUGAGAGGUGCCUCCAGGUGGACACUGUCUUGCAGGGUGCAAGGUCUCAGCGUAGAGCUGACUCUUGACUGCACUGCUGCCUGCCUCAUAUAUUUGCUAAGCCUGGAUUUCACCUCUUAGUGCCCCAACGUAUGUAUGUUGUCCGCAGUCCCAUCUGUGUUGAAACUCUGAAUUCAAGGGAACUAAUGCAUGUAGAAAGGGGAGAAAGAAAGGACCUCUUUGUAGGCCCUUUUCCUGGGUGUAUGGCAGAUUCAUUGGUAAAUUCAUGGAGAAUUCGGCUGUUGAAUUUAAUUUUAUUUCCUCAAACUCUUUGUCAAGGAGUUUCUUCCUUUAAUACAGAAUGCUUUCAAAAAAUUCUGUAACUGGAACAGUUAGCUCAGGAGAUACCGAUGUCCCGCUAGUCCAGGAGUUCACAGAUCUGAGAUCCUUUGCAGUGGGGCAGCAGUUCUGUUGGAACAUAGGCACUGUAUCUAUUUUAAACUUUCUCUCCGAGAUGGUCCUUUAUGGCCACUUUGGAGCAGUGUUUUCCCCAUGAUCGGUUAGCGCUUGUCAGCUGACAGGCAGCCCAACUCCACAAACAGUGUGUCAAUGCAAAAGGCUAUCAUUCUGCAGUCAUGGCAAUAAAUAUCCAAGAGGAAGGAAUCUUUGGUCUCCCUCCCCUUGGUAAGCUAUUUGGACCCUGGUAAUUUAUCACCAUUUAUGGCCUCCUCAAGUGAAUAGUACUGUUAGUUCAGCAUGAAAGAAAACCUGAGAAUGUGAUUUUUUUUUUUUUUCUGUAGGUUCUAGCUGUAUGUGAUGUAUCUUGUUUAGGCUAGCACAUUGCUGUAGUUCAUAUUGCACCACUAGAGAGGCAUUUUUUUACAAGUUAAAGAAUUCUGAAAAAACAGUCUCAUGAUAGGUCCAUAAAAAUAACAAGAGUUCUCAUUUUGAAAUGGUAUGUACAGUGUUUCUUAAAUUAAGGGCAAAUUAUUUAUUUGUCAAUUUUGAAAAAUCAAUGUUUUUCUAUAUCUUAGAAUGUAUUCCCCAAACUAACCUUGUUGUUCAGGGAAGCAAAUAAACAGAACCCUAAAAUGGGAACUCUUUCCAACUGGAAAAAGAAGAUUUCAAUAGAUAAAAAUCAUAGUUCAGACAUUAACACGUCUACACAAAUUUGCUGGGUAUUAUGAGGCAAAGUGGGAUAUAUGCACCUUCUCAGAAAUUAUAGCAACUGUUCCAGGCAGGAUCCGUAGCUGACUGUGAAAUGUAAACAUAGAAAUAGACAUGGUGGUCAUGACAGUUUCACUUGCAAGAAAGCUAUUGAUAUACUUGCUGUUUUUCUGUAAAAGUGCACGUGAUACCAUCCAUACCUAGACAGUCCUUGGGAGAUGCUUGUCUAAAACAGAUCCUUAAAAGCACAGGCUAAAGGAGAUCACGCAAUAUUAUAGAUGUGCUGUUCUACCAUACAGUUUUUCUCAUUCAAGUAUUUCCUUAAUAUUUUCUCCAAAUCCUUUUUACUUCAAAUUAAACUGUAAUACUCCUUGCGAUAUAACCCUCUAAGUCUCUUAAUGAAAGCCUUCUUAAUUUGACAAAAUUAUUUUCAUACUCCCACACCCGGUCUUUACUUUCCUCGUCUCUUGACUUUAAAAAUGACGUUCUGUCCAUACCUUUUUCUAAGUCAUAUUCUUUGUGCUUGUCAUUCUGGCUGCUGUCCUCCUUACUCUACAGAAGGAUUUUUCUUUUUUCACAAGAGUUCUACAAAAUGUGCUUUAUUCAAAGUACUGUAGAGUAUCGCUAAGGUAACCCAUUGCUGAGGAAAGCAAACAUUCAUACCCUGCCACCAUAGAAAGAGUACUUAUACUGACAUUUGCAAUAAUUAGAUAUACCGUUUUUGCAACUGUUUGACAUUGUUGAGGGUGUAUAAACUUGUGCCCCCAACUCCUUUUCUCCCUGGCUCAGACGACAAACCCCGUGCAUUUCUCUGAUUUCGUCC
Molecule: long non-coding RNA, 5887 nt
Organism: Aptenodytes forsteri (emperor penguin)
Lineage: Eukaryota; Metazoa; Chordata; Aves; Sphenisciformes; Spheniscidae
Exons: 3
Source: RefSeq, a predicted model, not a curated record